This is a long non-coding RNA of Eleginops maclovinus (Patagonian blennie), 606 nucleotides long. RefSeq lists it as uncharacterized. Lineage: Eukaryota; Metazoa; Chordata; Actinopteri; Perciformes; Eleginopidae. The record is from RefSeq and is a predicted model, not a curated record. The transcript has 3 exons.
GCAACCUGCUGGCAACACCGAGAUUGAAACACAUCACUGAAACUGCUAAACCAAGUUCAUCAUGUCCAUUUAUUGGAAAGCGUACCCAAUCAAGGAUCAAACUAUUGCAAGUCCUGUUAUUCAGUCCAGUUCUCCAUCUGUGCUUGACAAAGGAGACACUGAUGAGAAGAUGAACCCAUUUCUAAAGAACUUUGGGUUCCCUUCUCCGGAUAAUGAAAAGGCCUUUCUUGAGAUCCAGCCUCUUAGUCUUGAAGCUUGUGAGGUUCCACUGCAUUCAAGUCCUCAAUCUGUUCUGGACAUGGCGCUCCGUUAUAAGGACGCUGUUAAAGGCAUGCAAGACCUUUCUUUGGAUGACGACACAGAUUUAAACCGCGUUUCCAGAUUUAAAACAUUUGAAAAGAAAACCAGAAGUGCCAAAAACAUGAGGUUCCCUCCACUGGGUGAAGACACCAAGUCAAGAAAGCUUCCCACAAUGCUGCCUCCACGUUUUGAGGAUGUGCUACAUAUGGGAGACGAUCGUGUGAAACAACCAGACUUGACCAACAUUAGGUUUUCUGCUCCAGCUUUGAAGCGCUUAAUGUCCAUCAAGAUCAAUUUACUAUAAAA